Molecule: signal recognition particle RNA, 80 nt
Filed under: marine eukaryotic metagenome
Description: Bacterial small signal recognition particle RNA
Rfam family: Bacterial small signal recognition particle RNA
About the family: The signal recognition particle (SRP) is a universally conserved ribonucleoprotein involved in the co-translational targeting of proteins to membranes. Archaeal SRP consists of a 7S RNA and homologues of the eukaryotic SRP19 and SRP54 proteins. In most bacteria, the SRP consists of a 4.5S RNA and the Ffh protein (a homologue of the eukaryotic SRP54 protein).
Source: RNAcentral
GGUUUCCGGCAACGGCUUUUCUCUGAACUCCGCCAGAUCCGGAAGGAAGCAACGGUAGGAAAAACUGUCGGGUGCACGGA